Long non-coding RNA from Calidris pugnax (ruff), 2893 nucleotides. RefSeq lists it as uncharacterized. The transcript is spliced from 3 exons. The record is from RefSeq and is a predicted model, not a curated record. NCBI's taxonomy places the organism in Eukaryota, Metazoa, Chordata, Aves, Charadriiformes, Scolopacidae.
GUAUGUAGGAUAGGUCUGGCAUGGGCCACGACACACAGCCUGGGUCAUUCCUCUCUCAGAACCCCUCUCUCUUCCUCCUCAGGUCUCGCUCUACCGCUGGCAAGUCUGGGCUGUUUGAAUCACUGCUGAGCAUGGCAAUCCCAGAGGUGAUGGUAAGAAGCUCGGCGUGGCCUUCAGAAGCAGGACACCUGUGAAGUGGUGAGCGUCCAGCAUAUCCUCAGGAGCCACUGUAGAUACUGCUGUGCGUCUGCAUCCGGCAGAAGAGCAGGGAUGAGCCAGUCCCUUUGCUCUGCUGUCGUUUGUCUCAGCUAAUAUUGUGGCUGCCUCUCCAGCUUUUGGUAGGGGGUUUUUGCUCUGCUGUGGACCAUCUGAGCUAAGUAAGGAGCCCCCCAGACAAUGGAAAAACCACCCAGCAGUGCCCACCCCAGCGACUGUGGUGACCAACCAGUGGAAGCACCUGUAACGUGCAUUGAAAUGUGAACCUUCUGUGAGACGCACCCAAAUUAGAAGACAAACACAAGGAAUCAUCAUUCACCACAGAGCUUUUCCCAAGUGCUAACCAAAGUGCAAUGCAGGUGGGAACCCACCAAAUGGCAGCACUGCUGGUUGUUCCUCUAGGAACAGGGGUAGCAAAGGGUCACAAGUUCUUCAGGUGUCCCGACCCUGCUUACCCCUGUGCUGGCUAGACCAGCUCUGAGAGAAGAACCACGCUCUGUACUUAGGUGGUUCUCAGGCAGCAAACAAAGGUAAUAAUUAGGAGUGGCUCCAAUGAAAGCAGAGAAUCUGAUCCUCCCCGGCUUUGCACUUUGUGCACUCACGCUUGCACCAGAGGAAUGUAAAAUGCUACACUUAGUACAUGUGACCAGAAUGCGCUGCUCUUCUGUAAUGCCACCUGCAUAUACACUUUGCCAAAAUAAUUCUUAAAACCCCCUUGUGGUAGAGCAGGCUCCAGAAUCAGGAUGCAGGACUGGAGCUGAGCACUCGGCGUGGUUCAGAGGGAACCUUCACUACUGGUUUAUAUGAAGCUGAACUGAUGACCAUGGGGAAGCUCGUCUAUGUCGUUAUUAGACUCUUGAGCUGUGCAGCUCUACAUACAAGGCAAGUCCAAGAAGUGGUUUACAGAGCUGGGAGCGGUUAAGGGAAGGAAAUGGCUCCAUCACGGCCAAAUCCAAGUCUGCUUUCAGACCCCAGGACGGAGAUUUGGCACAGCUUCAGACAGACAGAUGUGACACAAGUACCUUUACUACUACAUCCCAUUACUUAUCUCUGACCAACAAGGAUCAGCAUUUCUUUCUCGGUGCCGUGUACCUAGUUUGCUCUCUGCAGCCUUUUACCUACAAACAGUUUACUGCAGCAGAAGGAAGACCUUUAUAAACUGUAUCUUCUGGACAGCAAAGAUCUCACAGCACCAGGUCCGAUUCACUCUCAGCAUAGAGGACACACACAUGUAACGUGUUCCCAUGGACACCAAAUGGAGGGAAUGUUCAUGCCCAACAUGUGAACUCCAUGGCAGAAAGUGGCCUGCAGCUCCUCUACCCCUAUUGCACAUGUCUAAAAAGUAGGUUCUUUUCCAACACUACUCCUUACACUUUGUCAGAGCAUUUCAGGGAUCUAUUCUUUCCUCACAAACUUGCAUUAAAAUUAGCAGCUGUUGUAUAUGCUUGAGCAAAGACAACAGGUCUCACCAAGAAAAUGCUCUAGAAGAGGACUAAGUAAACUAAAAAUCACAUAACAUUCAACUUACCUUUCUUCUCUUCUCAAAAUUUAUCAGGCCACCCUGUUGGAAGGAAGUAGAAGAGCACAUGCUCAGUUGAAUUUAAUCACAAACAGGAUGAAGUAGCAAGGCUAAUGUAAAGCACAGACCUGCCCUGAGUUAAGGACCUUCCAAAAAUACCUGUCUCCAGAUCUGGUAUAAACCACAGCACUCAUAUAUCCGAGUCUCCAAAGGAUAUCUGACCCCAUGGCCUAAAUGGCAAUGUGCCCAAGAAGAAAAGCCCAGUACAAGAACACUCAUAAAAAAAAAAAAAAGAAAGGGAUGUGUAGGAACAUUACACAGGCCUGAUUUCGUGCAGUUUUGCAAAACAGAAAAACCAAAGAAACCAGCAACCAUUACCAGCACAGGAAGAAUUGUAUUUGCCCAUUCUUAUUAUAAAUACCACCACUAGCACAAUGAAGACUAAUGGCCUGCAGUGUGGCUCCUCCAGUGUCUACAGUAAUGGGGUUAAUUUUCAAAGGUGUUUAAAAACCUUUGAAACACUUUUGAAAAUUGGCCCCACCCUCAGUCUCUGUUAAAGGACCAGACUCUCUUGCAAUCCUUUUCCCCUUCCUAUUCUAGGUUGGUUCCCCCUGCUUGUUCAGCUAAAGAGAAAUGAAAAAACCAAGUCUUUAAUCACUUUAGAGCUCAGAGUCAAUACUGAAGCAACUUCAGUCAUCAGUCUGAAGAGCUGUGUUUGUGAUCCUGUGUAUAUUUACCAAUUAUUCACAGAAAUCCUUACACCUAAAAUGUUGUUUUCAGAAAAAUAAAACAGAGUAAUGCAAAGCCUACUUUCUUCACGUUUUCUAACCUAAGAAGACAAGGCAAAAUGCAAUGCUAAGCUUGUUCCUUGAGAUAACUGCACUCAAGUUCACACAAGAUUCUUGCCAAUAAAACUGUACAUUGCUUCAUUAUUUUCUGAAACCAGAUUCCUCUGUUCUUAAGAACUGCACAAAGACCCAAUAGAAGAUACAGGAACAGACACAGUCAGUACUGGGAAGGCCCGGAAGAUAUUUAGGAUUCAAAAAAUUGCCCCAGAUUACCUCAACAUAGUCCUGAAGAGCUGUGUCAAGCAUGAUGAGAUCAGUGAGGAAGAUACCAAGAUAAGGUACAGUGCCUUGCAUUACUCCCUGCAAAUGA